This is a long non-coding RNA of Schistocerca gregaria, 1089 nucleotides long. RefSeq lists it as uncharacterized. The record is from RefSeq and is a predicted model, not a curated record. NCBI's taxonomy places the organism in Eukaryota, Metazoa, Arthropoda, Insecta, Orthoptera, Acrididae. The transcript is spliced from 4 exons.
AUUGACACCUGCAUUCAAAGAAAAAACCGUAUCAGAAAUUCUAGCUGUUGUAUUGGCGUUUUUUUUUUCUUUUAGCAUCUGACCUAUAAUAAACUUAUCCAAAAUUAUGCUUCGUUGAUUUUUAACUUCACGAUUAUGGUCUCUUUGACUACGCAUAAAAAUUUCAGAAUACCAUACAUGUGUAUUAAUUGGUUUCUUGACUACCUUCUUUUCCGCCAGAAUCAUAUUGUACAGGCCUUCUAUUUGAUUUUAGUAAUCGGCUCUACUAGUUGCUUCAUUUGGACAAGCUUCCCUCGAUUUCCACAUGCCAAUCUGUCUUCAUUUCAUUAUGUGGGUUUAUCAGCAUUGAUUAUCGUUGAAUUGGCCUCCUUUUUUUAUUUGGUAAACAGCAAUCCUGGAAUAAUAGACGCGCAAAACUGGAAACACUACAAUUCCAUGUUUCCAUAUGAUCACAUCAUCUAUUCGCCCAGUUUGUGUAAAACUUGCAAGUUUAAAAAAAUACCACGAAGCAAACAUUGUACAUAAAGCAUUUCUCGUUCAUAAAAUGAUGCCCACAUAUUGACAACCCUUUACCCUUUGCUGCUUUAGGCUCUAUCUGCCAACAUGAAUGCGCCUUUUUCGACCAUCAUUGCUAUUGGGUCAAUAACUGCAUUGGCCUGUUCAAUAUGCGAUGGUUCCUCUUUUUCAUGUUUAUUACAUGCAUUUUGCUAGGCUACGUAAAUGUUUUAUCCUUCUACAUUAUGAAAAGCACACUCGACCGGAACAAUUUUUGGUAUUACAUGCAUAUUGAAACCAAUGUGAUUUGCCCCACACCCUAUAAAACACUUUUUAGAAUUCUUUUUUUUUAUGAAAAUUUGCACAUGUGCUUCUGGAUUUUUACUUUUUUGUGUGGAAUAGCUAUUGCUGCGAUUUUUGGAUACCACCUCUACCUGAUAGGCACCGGAAAAACCAUGAAUGAAUCAGAUAAAUGGAAUAGAUAUCACGCCAGUAGAUCAAAUUCCUCUCUGAAAGACAAACAACCCGUGAAAAACAUUUAUGACCUUGGUGUGGUUCGAAAUUUUUAUCAUAUACUCUCUCCAUCUUCCAUUA